CUUGGGGGAAAAAAGGCAUUCUAUGGUCUGGGAUGUUUUGGGGUGGGAAUUGGAUGAGUUGUCACACCAUGGUAGUCAAUGUGGUAAACAAGAUCUAAAUCAUUGUUGCUGAGAUGCUGAUGUUCUCUGCAUGUUCAUGGAUUGUCAUCUGCUUUGCGUCUUCAUCAAGAACCUUGUUUUUCUCUUGUCCAUUUAUGUGGAGUGGUAACAUUCUCUGUUCUUUCAUUGA
RNAcentral lists this unclassified non-coding RNA (229 nucleotides) under Hevea brasiliensis (rubber tree). Lineage: Eukaryota; Viridiplantae; Streptophyta; Magnoliopsida; Malpighiales; Euphorbiaceae. The record is from RNAcentral.